CGCCCGUCAAACCAUGGGAGCUGGUAAUGCCCGAAGUCGGUUUAUAAACAAACUGCCUAAGGCAGGACUGGUGACUGGGGUUAAGUCGUAACAAGGUAUCCCUACGAGAACGUGGGGAUGGAUUACCUCCUUUCUACGGAGUACAAAAGUCAAUCAAGUAUUGACACUUUAACCUUAUAUUCAGACCUACUUAAUUUUUUUAGCAGUCAUGGCUUGUUAGGUCGCAAGCAUAUAUCUAGUUUUGAGGGGACAAUUCCUCUCAAAAUUGUUCUUUGAAAACUGAAUAGUUAAUAUUUUAAAAUAUUACAACGACAUCAAAAAUGAAUAAAUUUUGGUUUAUUCGUAUUGAUUCAUCGAGUAGUCAUAUUUAAAUAUAUGAUUCAUUGAAAUGUCUUAAAAUACACAUCAUAACAACAAUAGGAAAUCUUAAUUGAAUAAAUUAAGGACAUACUUUUAAAUAAGUAAGAGUUUGUGGUGGAUGCCUUGGGUCUGAAAGUCGAUGAAGGACGUGAUUACCUGCGAUAAGCCUCGUGGAGCUGGAUAUAAGCUACGAAGCGGGGAUUUCCGAAUGGGGGAACCUAACUAGGGUAAUGCCUAGUUGCCUUCUUCUGAAUACAUAGGAAGUCGAGCGAGACACCAUGCGAACUGAAACAUCUUAGUAGCAUGAGGAAAAGAAAAUAAAUAAUGAUUUCUUUAGUAGCGGCGAGCGAACGAGAAAGAGCCCAAACCACUUUAAGUGGGGUUGUAGGACGAUCUACAUAGAGUUACAAAAUUUAAUGAUAGCAGAAACGUUUGGGAAAACGUAGCACAGAGGGUGAUACUCCCGUAAGCGAAAUCGUUAAAUCUCUUGAUCGUAUCCUGAGUAGGGCGGGGCACGUGAAACCCUGUCUGAAUCUGCCGGGAGCACCCGGUAAGGCUAAAUACUAAUCAGACACCGAUAGUGAACUG
Molecule: small RNA, 948 nt
Filed under: Mycoplasma simbae
Lineage: Bacteria; Bacillati; Mycoplasmatota; Mollicutes; Mycoplasmatales; Mycoplasmataceae
Description: bacterial LSU rRNA
Rfam family: Bacterial large subunit ribosomal RNA (bases 452-948)
Source: RNAcentral